UCCAUAUCCAUUUUCUUUCUUCUCCAUUUUGGUGCCUUGGUGGUGUGUUUGUGGUGCAUUGGUGGUGCGGUGGUGGUGUGUUGGUAGUGCGUUGUUCGUGGGGUGCGUCUGCUGUGGAGAUUGGCGUUUUUGUUUGGUCUAUAAGAUACAAAGAAGAUAACUGCGACAGGCCUAAAUGGAUAUGACAUAUCUGUUUGGCCUUCAACGGAUGUGGAUAUUCGUUGUCGGGAAAACGAAUAUCCAUAUUUGUUUUCCCUUUAAUGGAUGUUAAUAU
RNAcentral lists this small RNA (274 nucleotides) under Vigna angularis var. angularis. RNAcentral describes it as "Non-protein coding transcript". Lineage: Eukaryota; Viridiplantae; Streptophyta; Magnoliopsida; Fabales; Fabaceae. The record is from RNAcentral.